CCUACGUGCGGCUGCAGUAGGGAAUAUUGCUCAAUGGGGGGAACCCUGAAGCAGCAACGCCGCGUGGAGGAUGAAGGUUUUCGGAUUGUAAAGUCCUUUUGUUAGGGAAGAUAAUGACGGUAUCUAACGAAUAAGCACCGGCUCACUCCGUGCGAGCAGCCGCGGUAAUACGGCGGGUGCAAGCGUUACUCGGAAUCACUGGGCGUAAAGGGCGCGUAGGCGGGUAAGCAAGUCAGAUGUGAAAUCCUAUGGCUUAACCAUAGAAUUGCAUUUGAAACUGGUAUUCUAGAGUAUGGGAGAGGUAGGUGGAAUGCUUGGCGUAGGGGUAAAAUCCGUAGAGAUCUAGAGGAAUACUCAUUGCGAAGGCGACCUGCUAGAACAUAACUGACGCUGAUGCGCGAAAGCGUGGGGAGCAAACAUGAUUAGAUACCCGUGUAGUC
This 440-nucleotide ribosomal RNA is filed under the name uncultured bacterium. RNAcentral describes it as "partial 16S ribosomal RNA". It matches the Rfam family "Bacterial small subunit ribosomal RNA", at positions 338 to 795 of the family's 1533-position model. The record is from RNAcentral.